RNAcentral lists this ribosomal RNA (497 nucleotides) under uncultured bacterium. RNAcentral describes it as "partial 16S ribosomal RNA". It matches the Rfam family "Bacterial small subunit ribosomal RNA", at positions 28 to 507 of the family's 1533-position model. The record is from RNAcentral.
GAUGAACGCUGGCGGCGUGCCUAAUACAUGCAAGUCGAGCGAACAGACGAGGAGCUUGCUCCUCUGACGUUAGCGGCGGACGGGUGAGUAACACGUGGAUAACCUACCUAUAAGACUGGGAUAACUUCGGGAAACCGGAGCUAAUACCGGAUAAUAUAUUGAACCGCAUGGUUCAAUAGUGAAAGACGGUUUUGCUGUCACUUAUAGAUGGAUCCGCGCCGCAUUAGCUAGUUGGUAAGGUAACAGCUUACCAAGGCAACGAUGCGUAGCCGACCUGAGAGGGUGAUCGGCCACACUGGAACUUAGACACGGUCCAGACUCCUACGGGAGGCAGCAGUAGGGAAUCUUCCGCAAUGGGCGAAAGCCUGACGGAGCAACGCCGCGUGAGUGAUGAAGGUCUUCGGAUCGUAAAACUCUGUUAUUAGGGAAGAACAAAUGUGUAAGUAACUAUGCACGUCUUGACGGUACCUAAUCAGAAAGCCACGGCUAACUACGUG